RNAcentral lists this ribosomal RNA (225 nucleotides) under Triticum aestivum (bread wheat). RNAcentral's name for it is "partial small subunit ribosomal RNA". Lineage: Eukaryota; Viridiplantae; Streptophyta; Magnoliopsida; Poales; Poaceae. The record is from RNAcentral.
AUUGUCACUGGCGACUUCAACCAGAUUUACCGAGCUCGAGAUAAAAAUAACAGGAACAUCAAUCGCAGCCGCCUAAGCCGCUUCCAUGCUACACUAGACACUUGUGAACUAAAAGAGGUCCACCUCCAGAACAGACGCUUCACUUGGAGUAACGAGCGUCAGAACCCUACUUUGUGCAAGCUGGACUCAGGUUUUCUGCAACGCCGCUUGGGGCAUGCAUUUUGA